This is a long non-coding RNA of Entelurus aequoreus (snake pipefish), 4659 nucleotides long. RefSeq lists it as uncharacterized. The transcript has 4 exons. NCBI's taxonomy places the organism in Eukaryota, Metazoa, Chordata, Actinopteri, Syngnathiformes, Syngnathidae. The record is from RefSeq and is a predicted model, not a curated record.
AUCCAAGAUGGCGGCACGUCAGCGGCUGACAUACUAUCAUUUUUCCUCAAAUGCUCCAUGCAGUGUACUCAUCUGACGGGGGCGAUGUUGUACCACUGGAUUACUGUCCUGCAAGCGCUUACAUGAUUUGUGCCUCUUAAGAAUUGGAUUAAAGUGUUGGAGCCAGUGUUGCUGAUUGGAAGUACUGCACUGCACAAACAUAAGUAGACUCGCUAUGGAAGUGCUAAAACUACUGGUACAACAAAGAUGACGAGAAAAAGACCCUGUCGGAGGGGAGCCACGUAAAUAAUACGGCGAACCAAACGGCGCAUCCUGAGGAGACGGUCAGAAAGCAACUUGAAGAUGGUGUGUAAAAUAUAAUCUAUGCAAUAUAUUGACCAAAGAACCACAAUUACAUGUUAUGUAUAUCACAAGGAAGUGUUUUAAAUGUUGACAAAAAAAUCACAUGAUCCAUUUUAAUAGUCCGUAUAAUCCAGUGCGCCUUAUGGUCCGAAAGAUAUGGUAGUCAACUAGUCAAAUGAUCGUUUAUACAUGUUUGAGUCCACAACAUGAUUUUGACUCAUUUUAAAAAGCUAUCAUUACGGUCUGGCUUGGGUGUUGUUGAUAUAGAUCCCCGGAAGUCCAGGGAAAAUGAAUUUAUUCACAAAAAUAAAUAGUGCAACAGGGAAGUGCACAUGAAGCGUGGGGAAAGCUUUACAGUAUGGAAGCAAACAAAGUAAACCAGCAUUAAAAGCAUCCUGUUUGGCAACCGGGGACAGGUGUGUCCUGAUUUCCAAUCAGGCACAGGUGAGAAAGCCAGCGCUCAGACAAAAAAAGUGGUGGAGGCAAACAGGAAGUGGAAACAAAAUUAAAAGCUCUGGACAGGAAAUAAAUAAAGAAACUAAAUAAAAUAAUCAUAAAGGCCAAACUGUGAUAGCUAUUAUAAAUUGUAACAGUAGAAACAUUAAUUACUUAGGACAUAUUGUUUUAGUUUAGUACAAAAAGUAAAAUCUAAAUAAAGACUUAAAGUGCAAAAUGUCCUGUAACCAUGACAUUAAUUGCAAAAGAAAUGUAAAUGUCCAUCUAUCCAUCCAUUCAUUUACUACCGCUUGUCAUGGGGGCAAGGGCACUGGAGCCUAUUCCAGCUGCACUCGGGCGGAAGGCAGGGUACACCCUGGACAAAUUGCCACCUCAACGCAGGGCGAAAUGUAAAUAUAAAGACUUUUAUUCACCUCUCAAUGGGAAAAUUCCAAGGUUGGGGUGCAGAUUUGCUGACAAAAAAUUAUUAGAAGAAUAACUAAUAUUGCACACAUGCUUUCAUGAUCCCACCUGACAGUUUUGGACAUUAUUUUUAGCUUCCUGUCUUUUGUAUUGUUUCCUGACCAGUGCUUGUAUUUUUUGUUCUGCUUCCUGUCUGCCUUUGUUUUCUAGACACUUUACUUCUGGCUUGAGCACCUGUCCCCAGUUAGUAAUCAGGAUACGCACCUGCUGGCAGUCCCUAAUCGGGAAUCGUCUUAUCUGUGCAUUUCCCUGCUGCACUAGCUACUUGUGUGUUAAAUAAAUACACUUUUACUUUCAAGGUGUCCCCGCAUCUUGGGGUCACAACUACUGCAACAAUGUGUAUUUGUGACAAUUGGUACACUAAGAGCCUGAUCUACUAAAGGUUUGCGUGUACUAAAACACAUAGUAACUUAAUAGCCCACGCAAAGCUGAUCCUCUAAACUGGUGCGCAGAAGAUUGUGUCUCUUAAAUGAGCAAAAUAAACAACGCAGUCCAUUUAGCGUGUCUGUCUUCAUGAAUGCAGAAUAUAUGCUGAUCACCAGAACUCCCACAAUACUUAGAGGAGUCGGAGAUGCAAAUAUAAUCAUUCAGUACAUGCAAUAUGAUUCAUCAAGACUAAAACUGUGUUGCUGGCACUAUUUUUCGUCUAUAUUUAGCAUGUAUGAAAUGUAUGGGCAAACUGGCACAGUUACACAAAUGGCUGUGAGAAAAAAGAUGAACGAUGAGAGAAUCCUUCAUCCUACGUGUGUGUCAUCCUAUUUGGACUGCCAUAAAUAACAAAUAAUCACAACACACAUCCCAAAUGACAACAAGAGAGUCGGAGAAAAGAAGAGGGAAUAUUCAAGCGGGCGAUUUAUAUAUUUUAAAAAAAACCUAGUGGAAGAUGGCAGAAGGAUUGUCUUCCUUCGAUUUUUCUUUUAGCGAUGUAGACGACGUCCACUUGGCCACAUUUGGACAAAUGUAUGCGCCUGGAUAAAACAUUAAUUUUAGUUGUUUACCAGGUAAGCCCAAAUCAAAACUGCUCGCGACAAGGAAGAAGUGGAAUACACAUUUAAGAACACACAUGAUUGUGACAUGUGAUGACUUUUGCUACAGUAUAACAUGUCUAAAUGCUACAUUUGAUUUUCAUUGGUGUUUUAGAACAAGACAGUAGCUGACAUUUUGUUCAUUAUUUCUACUGUUUAUAUUUUGACAUUGAAUAGUUAAUUGAAUCAUUUUGAAACAUAAACAAUAUUACUGCAAGAUAUUUGUUGUUUCAUGCUAUAAAUCACAAAUGACUAAUCAGAUAAAGGAAGUUGGCUAAUAGAAUAAACAUUGUUUGUACUCUUUAUGAUUUUUGCAUUUGGAGCGGUUAGAAGUGGAGAGGGAGUCAAAGAGACAUAAAUUGGCUAUAAAAUCUAAGACAGAAUCCACUAAAGCAGAAACAAAAAGGAAAAUGCAAGCUGCUCAGAAAUUUGCCAGGAAGGCUCAUGUCAGAGCCUUCAAAGCAAAAAUGCCAAAGUAAUGUGUGAAUGAACCAAAGUAAUGUGUCCAUCCAUCCAUCCAUUUUCUACCGCUUGUCCCUUACGGGGUCGCGGGGGGUGCUGGAGCCUAUCUCAGCUGCAUUCGGGCGGAAGGCGGGGUACACCCUGGACAAGUCGCCACCUCAUCGCAGGGCCAACACAGAUAGACAAACAAUAUUCACACUCACAUUCACACACCAGGGCCAAUUUAGUGUAAAUAAUGUAAAUAACUAGAUGACCCAUCUGUGGCUGUGAAGUGAACACUAGUAAGGUUGUAAAUAGUGUGAAUAGAGUAGGCUAACCCAUGUGGUUCCUGUGGAUGUGAACACAAGUUGUAAUUACUGUAGUGUGUAAAUAACAUAGUGACUGAAACAGACAUAGUCAUUCAUUUGGAUGAAUGGGGUAUGUAGUUAUGUCUUAGACUUAAACUUCCUUUUUUAUUGUCAUUCAAAUUUGAACUUUACAGUACAGAUAAGAACGAAAUGUCGUUGCAUUAGCUCAUGGUAGUGCAGGAUAUCAACUCUGUUGAUCAUUUUUCAAUUCUUUAAACACUAAAACAUCUUUAAAUUGUGUUUUUUUUUUGGCUAAUUUUACAUGUUAAAUUGCUGAAAAACCAGGAGCUUCGGUUUCUGCCUUGUCCCCGCACCAGGGCACCUCCCUGGGCCUGCGGCCCCCAGACCUCCGGCUUAUUUUCAGUCUUUUUCUUUAAAUUCAAAUCACAUGCCUGGUUUAAGUAACGUAGCAUGUUAGACACUACUUAAGUAUGUGUCUUAAGUGCUUUAAUUAUUUAAUUUUUUAUCUUUGAAUUGGGACAUAGGUUCUGUGCAGAGUUCUUCGCUCUAGGUUUUGGAUGUUAUUCCACUGUGCAUUUGCACCUAAUGUUGUGUCCGUAGAGUGUAUAGGUAGGCUUACUCAGCCUUGAAGUGGUCACACAAUAAUCAAAUGAAAAUGUUCUCCUGGCAGUCAUUCGUUCAUGCGGGUUGCCAUGGUGACAUCCAUCAAUUAAACCUGGAGGAAUGCAUUGCUUGGCGUGAGCAGUAAACAAUUUCUUAUGCUUCAAUGAUGACCUCUGAAAGUGCAGCCGAAGUCCCAAGGCAUUCUCUGUUUGGCAUAGUCAGUUAUUUGGUUGGAUUACAACACACAGGAGUGAACCUAAUGCAGACACAGCAACAGUUUUUAUUGAGUUCAUGAUGAUACGCAGGAGCCUAUUGUCACUUUUGUUGGAUUUAAAAGUGUGUGUUGCUAAUCACUUCCAUCAAGGUACAUCCACUCCUCCACCAAGACAUGAUCUGUAAGAAAUACAAGGAAGCUGCCACUCCACAUGAUUACCCUCAUCCGUCAUUCUCAAUUCGGUGUCAAACAGAUUUAGUCACUAAUUUAUCACUAAAUAGGAUUUAAUCUGACCAAUAUGAAUUUUUCCCGCAUAGAAAUCAAUCAUUUCGUGCAGAUUUGGGUGAAUGCACCCUGACAACUGCAGCAAUGCUAAUGGUUUUGUGGAUGUUUCUGGACACACUCUCAGUCAAGGAAGUUCAUUUCACUAUGUAAAGCGCUUUGAGUCACUAGAGAAAAGCGCUAUAUAAAUAUAAUUCAGUUCAUUUAGGAAAGAGGCAUUAGAGGUGUUGUGUCACAUGAGCGAUCGAGAGCAUCCAGGAAGAGAAUCGAUUAGAUACGGCCUGAGCACAGCAGCUAAGUGAUCACUUUGUAAUGAAGUGUCUGCGUGUUUUUUUUAAAUAUAGAAUUGUUGGACUUUGUCCUCUCGCUAGCAUUGACAUAAUUUUGGAAUGGACUUAAAAUAUCUGAAAUGUGUAAUAUCACUUUCUCUCAUAUUGUGCUGUUUGUUUACACUACACUUUUGCCCUGGUGCAGGGGUGUCCAAAGUGCAGCUUGGGGACCAUUU